This is a long non-coding RNA of Suricata suricatta (meerkat), 541 nucleotides long. RefSeq lists it as uncharacterized. NCBI's taxonomy places the organism in Eukaryota, Metazoa, Chordata, Mammalia, Carnivora, Herpestidae. The transcript has 2 exons. The record is from RefSeq and is a predicted model, not a curated record.
GCCUGCGGUAGAUGCCUCCUCUCCCGCCCUCAGAUGUUAACAUUUCUCUGCCUGCAGCGCAGAACCUGGGUGUGCAGGGCAGGUGUGGAUGAGGCGUGAGUGGCCUCAGGACAGAAGACAGGUCAUUUUGGAAGCAGGGGUAUCGUGUAGUUGAAAGAGUACACAGUUUUUUGUUCAACCACCGGAGCGCACAGUUCUGAGUUAAGCUUGCAUUUUGGCAUUCUGCCCAAGUGCUGCUUCUCUCUGCCUCCCUCCACCCCAUGCAGUCCUGCAGUGUUGGGAGAUUCUCCCUGAGAAGAGAAGAGGCAGAUUCUUGAAGCUCUCCAGGCUCCCACAUGCAUGAUGCUUCAGCUUUGGAUGUCUUCCUCCAGGGCUUCAGGCUUGUGCUGAUGAUGUUCUCAGCCUCCAACCCAUGUUCAGAGCAUCUACUGUGGGCCUGACGAUUCUAGGCAUUGGGCAAGGAAAAGUAAAAUGCUGUAUUUGAUUUUGAUUUUGUAAGGGGUUUGUAGGCUAAUGGAUUGAAGCAAAUGAGUAAACAAAA